Molecule: ribosomal RNA, 468 nt
Filed under: uncultured bacterium
Lineage: Bacteria
Description: partial 16S ribosomal RNA
Rfam family: Bacterial small subunit ribosomal RNA
Source: RNAcentral
GACGAACGCUGGCGGCGUGCUUAACACAUGCAAGUCGAACGGAAAGGCCCUGCUUUUGUGGGGUGCUCGAGUGGCGAACGGGUGAGUAACACGUGAGUAACCUGCCCUUGUCUUUGGGAUAAAUUCAGGAAACUGGGGCUAAUACCGGAUAGGAGCUCCUGCUGCAUGGUGGGGGUUGGAAAGAUUCGGCGGUUGGGGCUGGACUGGCGGCUUAUCAGCUUGUUGGUGGGGUAGUGGCUUACCAAGGCUUUGACGGGUAGCCGGCCUGGGAGGGUGACCGGCCACAUGGGGACUGCGAUACGGCCCAGACGCCUACGGGAGGCAGCAGUGGGGAAUAUUGCACAAUGGGCGGAAGCCUGAUGCAGCAACGCCGCGUGCGGGAUGACGGCCUUCGGGUUGUAAACCGCUUUCGCCUGUGACGAAGCGUGAGUGACGGUAAUGGGUGAAGAAGCACCGGCUAACUACGUG